AAAUGAUAAAAAUUAGUGGCAGACGGGUGAGUAAUGCAUAGGAAUCUACCUAGUAGUAUGGGAUAGCCACGAAAUGGUGGGUAAUACUGUAUAAUCCCUGCGGGGGAAAGAUUUAUCGCUAUUAGAUGAGCCUAUGUUAGAUUAGCUAGUUGGUAGGGUAAAGGCCUACCAAGGCAGUGUCUAUAGCUGGUCUGAGAGGAUGAUCAGCCACACUGGAACUGAGAUACGGUCCAGACUCCUACGGGAGGCAGCAGUGGGGAAUAUUGGACAAUGGGCGCAAGCCUGAUCCAGCUAUGCCGCGUGAGUGAGGAAGGCCUUAGGGUUGUAAAACUCUUUCAGUGGGGAAGAUAAUGACGGUACCCACAGAAGAAGUCCCGGCAAACUCCGUGCCAGCAGCCGCGGUAAUACGGAGGGGGCAAGCGUUGUUCGGAAUUAUUGGGCGUAAAGGGCAUGUAGGCGGUUCGGUAAGUUAAAGGUGAAAUGCCAGGGCC
RNAcentral lists this ribosomal RNA (491 nucleotides) under uncultured Anaplasma sp. Its description in RNAcentral is "bacterial SSU rRNA". It matches the Rfam family "Bacterial small subunit ribosomal RNA", at positions 80 to 609 of the family's 1533-position model. Lineage: Bacteria; Pseudomonadati; Pseudomonadota; Alphaproteobacteria; Rickettsiales; Anaplasmataceae. The record is from RNAcentral.